GCGAAAGUGGCGGAAUUGGUAGACGCACUGGAUUUAGGUUCCAGCGCCGCAAGGCGUAAGAGUUCGAGUCUCUUCUUUCGCACCA
Molecule: transfer RNA, 85 nt
Filed under: Ferrigenium kumadai
Lineage: Bacteria; Pseudomonadati; Pseudomonadota; Betaproteobacteria; Nitrosomonadales; Gallionellaceae
Also listed under: 4 other names
Description: tRNA-Leu
Rfam family: tRNA
About the family: Transfer RNA (tRNA) molecules are approximately 80 nucleotides in length. Their secondary structure includes four short double-helical elements and three loops (D, anti-codon, and T loops). Further hydrogen bonds mediate the characteristic L-shaped molecular structure. tRNAs have two regions of fundamental functional importance: the anti-codon, which is responsible for specific mRNA codon recognition, and the 3' end, to which the tRNAs corresponding amino acid is attached (by aminoacyl-tRNA synthetases). tRNAs cope with the degeneracy of the genetic code in two manners: having more than one tRNA (with a specific anti-codon) for a particular amino acid; and 'wobble' base-pairing, i.e. permitting non-standard base-pairing at the 3rd anti-codon position.
Source: RNAcentral